UAGUUAAAUUUGGCUAGUUUUAAAAAUUAACUCUAAAUUCUUUAUAAAAAAUAUUAAUAGCAUCUCAUGUUAGAAGAUUGAAUUUAUUUAAUAAUAAAUAUUAUUGAUAUUUAGAGAAAUCUCUAGUUAAUUUUGUGCCAGCAACAGCGGUUAUACAAAAAGAGAUCUUUUUAAGUUAAAAACUUAUUUUUUAUUUAAAUUCAAAUUAAUUGAAAAGUUAAGGUGAAAUUUAAUUUUUUUCAAAAAAGGUAAAUAAAGUGUAAAUUCAUUAAAUAAACUAGGAUUAGAUACCCUAUUAUUGGGAGUUAUAUAUUGCAAGUAUAUAAAUAAUAUGAAAACAAAAAAUUGUGGCGGUAUUUUAAGCUUUUCAGAGGAAUUUGCUCUUUAAUGGAUAAAACACCAACAUCUUACUAAAAUUGGUUAAGCAGUUUGUAUACCACUAUUUAAGUAAUAAUUUGUAAUUAUUACUAAAAUUUAAAAAAAUAAAAAAAGUUAAGUCAAGGUGCAACAAAAAUUUUAGAAUGAAGUGAAUUACAUUUCUUUUGAGAGAUUUAAAAUGAAAUAUAAAGUUUAGGAUUUGAAAGUAAAAUUUUAAUAAAAUGAAAAUUUGAAUUAAGCUCUAAAAUAUGUACAUAUCGCCCGUCGCUCUUUUAUGAAGAUAAGUCGUAACAAAGUUAAAGUACUGGAAAGUGCUU
RNAcentral lists this non-coding RNA (695 nucleotides) under Haemaphysalis japonica. Lineage: Eukaryota; Metazoa; Arthropoda; Arachnida; Ixodida; Ixodidae. The record is from RNAcentral.